RNAcentral lists this ribosomal RNA (482 nucleotides) under uncultured bacterium. RNAcentral describes it as "partial 16S ribosomal RNA". It matches the Rfam family "Bacterial small subunit ribosomal RNA", at positions 28 to 523 of the family's 1533-position model. The record is from RNAcentral.
GACGAACGCUGGCGGCGUGCUUAACACAUGCAAGUCGAACGGUGAAAGGGAGCUUGCUCCCUGGAUCAGUGGCGAACGGGUGAGUAACACGUGGGUGAUCUGCCCUGCACUUCGGGAUAAGCCUGGGAAACUGGGUCUAAUACCGGAUAGGACCACUGCCUGCAUGGGGGGUGGUGGAAAGCUUUUGCGGUGUGGGAUGGGCCCGCGGCCUAUCAGCUUGUUGGUGGGGUGAUGGCCUACCAAGGCGACGACGGGUAGCCGGCCUGAGAGGGUGACCGGCCACACUGGGACUGAGAUACGGCCCAGACUCCUACGGGAGGCAGCAGUGGGGAAUAUUGCACAAUGGGCGCAAGCCUGAUGCAGCGACGCCGCGUGAGGGAUGACGGCCUUCGGGAUGUAAACCUCUUUCAGCACCGACGAAGCGCAAGUGACGGUAGGUGCAGAAGAAGGACCGGCCAACUACGUGCCAGCCGCCGCCGUAA